This 465-nucleotide ribosomal RNA is filed under the name Vreelandella stevensii. RNAcentral describes it as "partial 16S ribosomal RNA". It matches the Rfam family "Bacterial small subunit ribosomal RNA", at positions 338 to 795 of the family's 1533-position model. The record is from RNAcentral. Lineage: Bacteria; Pseudomonadati; Pseudomonadota; Gammaproteobacteria; Oceanospirillales; Halomonadaceae.
CCUACGGGAUGCAGCAGUGGGGAAUAUUGGACAAUGGGCGAAAGCCUGAUCCAGCCAUGCCGCGUGUGUGAAGAAGGCCUUCGGGUUGUAAAGCACUUUCAGUGGGGAAGAAAGCCUUGGGUCUAAUACCCUCGAGGAAGGACAUCACCCACAGAAGAAGCACGGGCUAACUCCGUGCCAGCAGCCGCGGUAAUACGGAGGGUGCGAGCGUUAAUCGGAAUUACUGGGCGUAAAGCGCGCGUAGGCGGUCUGAUAAGCCGGUUGUGAAAGCCCCGGGCUCAACCUGGGAACGGCAUCCGGAACUGUCAGGCUAGAGUGCAGGAGAGGAAGGUAGAAUUCCCGGUGUAGCGGUGAAAUGCGUAGAGAUCGGGAGGAAUACCAGUGGCGAAGGCGGCCUUCUGGACUGACACUGACGCUGAGGUGCGAAAGCGUGGGUAGCAAACAGGAUUAGAUACCCCAGUAGUC